This 466-nucleotide ribosomal RNA is filed under the name uncultured bacterium. RNAcentral's name for it is "partial 16S ribosomal RNA". It matches the Rfam family "Bacterial small subunit ribosomal RNA", at positions 28 to 507 of the family's 1533-position model. The record is from RNAcentral.
GACGAACGCUGGCGGUGUGCUUAACACAUGCAAGUCGAACGGUAAGGCCCUUUCGGGGGUGCACGAGUGGCGAACGGGUGAGUAACACGUGAGUAACCUGCCCUCAUCUCUGGGAUAACAGUCGGAAACGGUUGCUAAUACUGGAUAUGAGCUUGCAAGGCAUCUUGUGGGUUGGAAAGAUUUUUUUGGUUGGGGAUGGACUCGCGGCCUAUCAGCUUGUUGGUGAGGUAGUGGCUCACCAAGGCUUCGACGGGUAGCCGGCCUGAGAGGGCGACCGGCCACAUUGGGACUGAGAUACGGCCCAAACUCCUACGGGAGGCAGCAGUGGGGAAUAUUGCACAAUGGACGGAAGUCUGAUGCAGCAACGCCGCGGGCGGGAUGACGGCCUUCGGGUUGUAAACCGCUUUCAAUUGUGACGAAGCUUUUUGUGACGGUAGCAGUAGAAGAAGCACCGGCUAACUACGUG